This 309-nucleotide long non-coding RNA is filed under the name Elaeis guineensis (African oil palm). RNAcentral describes it as "long non-coding RNA (EGUI_LNC025184)". The record is from RNAcentral. Lineage: Eukaryota; Viridiplantae; Streptophyta; Magnoliopsida; Arecales; Arecaceae.
UACCACGACACAAGUCAUGCUUCCUCCAAUAGCUGUCAUGAUCCCCAUGGCCUAAAACAUUUUUUGAGUUCCCAACAGAAUAGCUAUAAGCAACAAAUACUUGAAGCGCGGAAGGAAAUAUUUUCUUUCAAGCUGCGCAAAAUAUAACUGAUAUCAACAUGCAUCAUCAGGAAGUUACGAGAGCAAAGCAGGAAUAACCAAAAACAGAAGCAAACGAUGCCCAAAUCAACAACCAUGGGAGGGAGUCGGAAUGGGAGCUCCCAUGACUCACCUUUUAACCAACCAUUCCGUCCUCACCAAAUGCAAGUC